This is a non-coding RNA of Delphinapterus leucas (beluga whale), 683 nucleotides long. NCBI's taxonomy places the organism in Eukaryota, Metazoa, Chordata, Mammalia, Artiodactyla, Monodontidae. The record is from RefSeq and is a predicted model, not a curated record.
AGUUAUCACCACAAAAAUGCAGCAUGAUGUGUUUUGUAUUAUUCCUAUUCCUAGGAUAAACAAAUACUGAAAUUAACUCUCCAUCAUCUUUAUAAAUUUGUUUUACAGUGCUGAAGGCUCUUUUACAUUCACAUCAUGCGAUAUGUUGGAGAAGUAGCCAACCCUCGUUCGAAAGAAGGCAGCUCUGAAUAUGAGGUCACGUGGGAGGAAAGCCUACGGCAGCAAACGCUAAAGGGAAAAAAGAAGGACAGAAAUCUACAGGCUGAAUGCAGUGAAGGUUAAUACCAAUGCUUUGGAAUUUUACACCGCAAACCAGGAAGUCACUUUUGAGAGGAGAUGUUUUUGUUUUGUUUUGCCUUUUCUGACAAAUAAGAAGGAAACAUAGCCUUGAGGGGUUUGACCAAUGAGCCCAAGACACAGGCAAAAUUAUCACAAAGGAUUUUCCAAAAUAACUUUGUCAUUGUUGCGGGAGCAGCAGAAACGUGUGUGAUCAUAUUUCAACCCCUAUGGGCUUCAAAUUAUAGUUUCUGAUUUGCAAUGUUUCUUUUUUUUUUUUUGCUGCUGCUGCCGAAAACUAUAAUGCUACAACAUCUCAUAAAAGUUUCUUCUUAAAAGUGUAAACUUACAUCAACUUCUAUUUUAAAAAUCCAGUGACAUAGGAAAUAAAGGCCUCAUCUAAUGUG